CACGUAGGCGGAUAUUUAAGUCUGGGGUGAAAUCCCAGAGCUCAACUCUGGAACUGCCUUUGAUACUGGGUAUCUUGAGUAUGGAAGAGGUAAGUGGAAUUCCGAGUGUAGAGGUGAAAUUCGUAGAUAUUCGGAGGAACACCAGUGGCGAAGGCGGCUUACUGGUCCAUUACUGACGCUGAGGUGCGAAAGCGUGGGGAGCAAACA
This 207-nucleotide ribosomal RNA is filed under the name uncultured bacterium. RNAcentral's name for it is "partial 16S ribosomal RNA". It matches the Rfam family "Bacterial small subunit ribosomal RNA", at positions 568 to 774 of the family's 1533-position model. The record is from RNAcentral.